CAAGGGAGGGGCUGGGUUUAUGUUAGGACAACUUUUACCAUGAACCAGGAGGUUCUCCCAACGUAAACCCAGCCCCUCCCCUC
Molecule: non-coding RNA, 83 nt
Organism: Papio anubis (olive baboon)
Lineage: Eukaryota; Metazoa; Chordata; Mammalia; Primates; Cercopithecidae
Source: Rfam